GCCAAGUGGGAUAGCUCAGUUGGUACAGCAUGAGGCUCUUACUUUCAGGGUUGUGGGUUCAAGCCCCACGUUGGGCA
Molecule: non-coding RNA, 77 nt
Organism: Podarcis lilfordi (Lilford's wall lizard)
Lineage: Eukaryota; Metazoa; Chordata; Lepidosauria; Squamata; Lacertidae
Source: the annotation of a GenBank genome assembly